GUUUUAGCGCAAUGGGCGAAAGCCUGACGCAGCAACGCCGCGUGAGGGAUGAAGGCCUUCGGGUGUAAACCUCUUUGUCAGGGACGAUGAUGACGGUACCUGACGAAUAAGCCACGGCUAACUACGUGCCAGCAGCCGCGGUAAUACGUGGGUGGCAAGCGUUGUCCGGAUUUACUGGGCGUAAAGAGCGCGCAGGCGGUCGUUCAAGUCGCGUGUGAAAGCCCCCGGCUCAACUGGGGAGGGUCACGCGAUACUGAUCGACUCGAAGGCAGGAGAGGGUAGUGGAAUUCCCGGUGUAGUGGUGAAAUGCGUAGAUAUCGGGAGGAACACCAGUGGCGAAGGCGACUACCUGGCCUGUUCUUGACGCUGAGGCGCGAAAGCUAGGGGAGCAAACGGGAUUAGAUACCCCGGUAGUCCUAGCCGUAAACGAUGGACACUAGGUGUUGGUGGUAUCAACCCCGCCAGUGCCGAAGCUAACGCAUUAAGUGUCCCGCCUGGGGAGUACGGCCGCAAGGCUA
This 518-nucleotide ribosomal RNA is filed under the name uncultured Acidobacteriota bacterium. RNAcentral's name for it is "bacterial SSU rRNA". It matches the Rfam family "Bacterial small subunit ribosomal RNA", at positions 359 to 896 of the family's 1533-position model. The record is from RNAcentral. Lineage: Bacteria; Pseudomonadati; Acidobacteriota.